Molecule: long non-coding RNA, 5480 nt
Filed under: Citrus sinensis (sweet orange)
Lineage: Eukaryota; Viridiplantae; Streptophyta; Magnoliopsida; Sapindales; Rutaceae
Description: long non-coding RNA (CSIN_LNC004131)
Source: RNAcentral
CCGAGCCGCUGGAAAACGGCACGGGCAAAACCGAAUCGAUGGCGUUUUGGUAAAUUACAUUCUGCAGGAACUGGAAAUAAAGUAAAACGUUGCCGUUUACCAUCGGAAUUUCCUUGAAUUUAUCGCGAAACCCAGGCCAGCCACGGAAGUCGUCGAUACAGAGAAUCUGAGAAUCGAGUCCCAAUUGGCGGGUCAAGUUGGCCAUGUGAAGAGCUGAGGCGCCGAGGAAGGACCCUACUUCGAUGAUGACACGCGGCCUGACUUUAUCAAUGAGGUUUCCGAAAACGGCACCGUAGGAGCCCCACCCCUUGAUGCGACGCCGGCGAAGUAGGUGACUAAUAUGCGGCGGCGGGAAAUUGACGUAAGGGGAGGUGCCGUUGAAGAUUCGGUCAAUGAUGGUUUGACGGACGAGUUGAGGAGGAACUGAGUCGGCGGCGCAGCGAGUCGUGACUCGGAAGUUGUCUAGUAGACUUGGAGGAAGCUGGAUGGUUGAAUUUGAAGUGGCUGUGGCUGUGGCUGUGGCUGCACCUGCACCGGCACGUGGACGUGAUGGUGGUGGUGGUGGUGGUGUGUGGGGUUUUGGGGAGGAUAGGUAACCCAGGGCGUAGGAUAGCAGGAGGAGGAUAAUAUACGCCGUUGGGUUAUUGAAGAGUUUCUUGGUUAUGUACAUGUUUACUUUGUGGUGGAAGCGGUGGUGGUCUUCUUUUGCUCACAUGUUUUGUCGUUUAUUUGGUGAAUUCUUGAUUGUUAAGACUAACUAAUUACUUGAUACAUACGGUUGAUUUAAAGAGAACAACAUCAAGUAAUCAACUACCAGCGGUGACUAACAAUAUACAAUUAUCUUUUCCACAAUUCUAUCUGUGUUUUAAUAAUAACAACUACAAUAAUAAUAUUAAGGUAUGCUUAUGAAACGACUGUCGACUAGGACUACAAAACUACCGAGAAAAAAAAUGGUGAUGAUGGUUAGUGUUUGUGAGAAGGAAAGAGGAUGGAUCUGCUUCUGCUGUGUGGGGUGAGUUAGUAGAAAUUGCGUGUUUACUACACGGAUGAUCAUGAAAAGACUCGAAAACUUGUUGAUUACGAUUUCAGAGGCAUUGUAAAAUACGGGUUGAGUUUUACAAUUCAGCUCAAACCUUUCCCAACCUUUGAUUGGAAUGAAAUGGUAUAAGCUAUGAUGUAUUGAUGAGGGAGAUUAUAGUCUAUUAUAUAUAUAUAUAUCUGCUGUACCGUACAUCCGCCUUGGCCGUACAGCAGAGUUGAAUGCGGAAUUUUUCGUCAUUCACUACGUUUCCAUAUUUAUUUUUGCAAUAAUAUUGUAUUUAUUUAGUUAGAACACUUAUGGUGUAUUUAUUUAUGGGUUUAAAAAAUUAGAAUGAAGGAAUGAGAAUUAAAUUAUUAAUAUUUAUCAUUAUUAUUAUUUAUUAAAAAUAAUAAUAACAAUAAUUAAUAAUAACUAAAAUAAUAAAGUUAAUAAAAUUUAAUAAUAAUAAUAAUAACAACAACAAAAACAAUAAUGAUAAUAUUGUUAAUAAUGAUAAAUUAAUUACUAUUAAUAUGGGUAUUUUGGUAAAUUAAUUAUCAUUCUCAUCCCUUAUUCCUAUUUAUUUUGCCAAGUAAACACAUCAAUGACAUUUCAGCACAUUCACAUUCUUAUUUAUUUUUGCCAAGUAAAUAUUGAAAUCUCAUUUUCAUUCGUCAUUCUCAUUCCAACCAAUUCUCAUUCUCAGCCCAUUCUCAUUUUACUCUAUUUCUAUUCUCAUGAAGUAAACACACAAUUAAAUUUAUAUCUUAAUUGAUGUAAUAAAUAACUUACUAUUAUUAUAUAAUUAAUUCAAGUGAUGAAUAAUUUUUUAAAUUUUUUUAUUCAAAUAAUAAAUCUCUAUUUAUGAUACACCAAUUAAAAUACAAACAGACUAAAUAUUCCAAGUAAAUAAAAAUAAUAUCACUCUUACUUUUCAAGAGUUGUUAUCUCAUAACCAGCAAACAGACGGCAACAACCAAUAACGGAUCAAGCAACCCUUUUUUUUCUGGGGGGUGUAAUUUUGAGUAUCACAUGACGGGACGGGAGAUGACAGGUAUACACGAGAUACAUAUGUGAAAAAAAAUCUAAGCAUUAACAGCAGAGUGGAUGACCCAGUGCUGCCCAUCAAUUUGAACUUUCAGACCGUUAAUCUUAGCAAACAAAUUUACCGCUCUCCUUACGCCUCUGUUAUCCGCAGCAGUAAAAUAAUCGUGGCCAAAAAUUACCCCACCGGGUCUCAAGAUCCGCCAAGCCCGGUUGAUAUCCGCCCAGGCCGAGUUAAAGUCAUGGCCCGCGUCAAUUUCUAUCAAAUCACCCACCACUCCCCACUCACAAAGUUUGGUUAAAGCCGAGCCGCUGGAAAACGGCACGGGCAAAACCGAAUCGAUGGCGUUUUGGUAAAUUACAUUCUGCAGGAACUGGAAAUAAAGUAAAACGUUGCCGUUUACCAUCGGAAUUUCCUUGAAUUUAUCGCGAAACCCAGGCCAGCCACGGAAGUCGUCGAUACAGAGAAUCUGAGAAUCGAGUCCCAAUUGGCGGGUCAAGUUGGCCAUGUGAAGAGCUGAGGCGCCGAGGAAGGACCCUACUUCGAUGAUGACACGCGGCCUGACUUUAUCAAUGAGGUUUCCGAAAACGGCACCGUAGGAGCCCCACCCCUUGAUGCGACGCCGGCGAAGUAGGUGACUAAUAUGCGGCGGCGGGAAAUUGACGUAAGGGGAGGUGCCGUUGAAGAUUCGGUCAAUGAUGGUUUGACGGACGAGUUGAGGAGGAACUGAGUCGGCGGCGCAGCGAGUCGUGACUCGGAAGUUGUCUAGUAGACUUGGAGGAAGCUGGAUGGUUGAAUUUGAAGUGGCUGUGGCUGUGGCUGUGGCUGCACCUGCACCGGCACGUGGACGUGAUGGUGGUGGUGGUGGUGGUGUGUGGGGUUUUGGGGAGGAUAGGUAACCCAGGGCGUAGGAUAGCAGGAGGAGGAUAAUAUACGCCGUUGGGUUAUUGAAGAGUUUCUUGGUUAUGUACAUGUUUACUUUGUGGUGGAAGCGGUGGUGGUCUUCUUUUGCUCACAUGUUUUGUCGUUUAUUUGGUGAAUUCUUGAUUGUUAAGACUAACUAAUUACUUGAUACAUACGGUUGAUUUAAAGAGAACAACAUCAAGUAAUCAACUACCAGCGGUGACUAACAAUAUACAAUUAUCUUUUCCACAAUUCUAUCUGUGUUUUAAUAAUAACAACUACAAUAAUAAUAUUAAGGUAUGCUUAUGAAACGACUGUCGACUAGGACUACAAAACUACCGAGAAAAAAAAUGGUGAUGAUGGUUAGUGUUUGUGAGAAGGAAAGAGGAUGGAUCUGCUUCUGCUGUGUGGGGUGAGUUAGUAGAAAUUGCGUGUUUACUACACGGAUGAUCAUGAAAAGACUCGAAAACUUGUUGAUUACGAUUUCAGAGGCAUUGUAAAAUACGGGUUGAGUUUUACAAUUCAGCUCAAACCUUUCCCAACCUUUGAUUGGAAUGAAAUGGUAUAAGCUAUGAUGUAUUGAUGAGGGAGAUUAUAGUCUAUUAUAUAUAUAUAUAUCUGCUGUACCGUACAUCCGCCUUGGCCGUACAGCAGAGUUGAAUGCGGAAUUUUUCGUCAUUCACUACGUUUCCAUAUUUAUUUUUGCAAUAAUAUUGUAUUUAUUUAGUUAGAACACUUAUGGUGUAUUUAUUUAUGGGUUUAAAAAAUUAGAAUGAAGGAAUGAGAAUUAAAUUAUUAAUAUUUAUCAUUAUUAUUAUUUAUUAAAAAUAAUAAUAACAAUAAUUAAUAAUAACUAAAAUAAUAAAGUUAAUAAAAUUUAAUAAUAAUAAUAAUAACAACAACAAAAACAAUAAUGAUAAUAUUGUUAAUAAUGAUAAAUUAAUUACUAUUAAUAUGGGUAUUUUGGUAAAUUAAUUAUCAUUCUCAUCCCUUAUUCCUAUUUAUUUUGCCAAGUAAACACAUCAAUGACAUUUCAGCACAUUCACAUUCUUAUUUAUUUUUGCCAAGUAAAUAUUGAAAUCUCAUUUUCAUUCGUCAUUCUCAUUCCAACCAAUUCUCAUUCUCAGCCCAUUCUCAUUUUACUCUAUUUCUAUUCUCAUGAAGUAAACACACAAUUAAAUUUAUAUCUUAAUUGAUGUAAUAAAUAACUUACUAUUAUUAUAUAAUUAAUUCAAGUGAUGAAUAAUUUUUUAAAUUUUUUUAUUCAAAUAAUAAAUCUCUAUUUAUGAUACACCAAUUAAAAUACAAACAGACUAAAUAUUCCAAGUAAAUAAAAAUAAUAUCACUCUUACUUUUCAAGAGUUGUUAUCUCAUAACCAGCAAACAGACGGCAACAACCAAUAACGGAUCAAGCAACCCUUUUUUUUCUGGGGGGUGUAAUUUUGAGUAUCACAUGACGGGACGGGAGAUGACAGGUAUACACGAGAUACAUAUGUGAAAAAAAAUCUAAGCAUUAACAGCAGAGUGGAUGACCCAGUGCUGCCCAUCAAUUUGAACUUUCAGACCGUUAAUCUUAGCAAACAAAUUUACCGCUCUCCUUACGCCUCUGUUAUCCGCAGCAGUAAAAUAAUCGUGGCCAAAAAUUACCCCACCGGGUCUCAAGAUCCGCCAAGCCCGGUUGAUAUCCGCCCAGGCCGAGUUAAAGUCAUGGCCCGCGUCAAUUUCUAUCAAAUCACCCACCACUCCCCACUCACAAAGUUUGGUUAAAGCCGAGCCGCUGGAAAACGGCACGGGCAAAACCGAAUCGAUGGCGUUUUGGUAAAUUACAUUCUGCAGGAACUGGAAAUAAAGUAAAACGUUGCCGUUUACCAUCGGAAUUUCCUUGAAUUUAUCGCGAAACCCAGGCCAGCCACGGAAGUCGUCGAUACAGAGAAUCUGAGAAUCGAGUCCCAAUUGGCGGGUCAAGUUGGCCAUGUGAAGAGCUGAGGCGCCGAGGAAGGACCCUACUUCGAUGAUGACACGCGGCCUGACUUUAUCAAUGAGGUUUCCGAAAACGGCACCGUAGGAGCCCCACCCCUUGAUGCGACGCCGGCGAAGUAGGUGACUAAUAUGCGGCGGCGGGAAAUUGACGUAAGGGGAGGUGCCGUUGAAGAUUCGGUCAAUGAUGGUUUGACGGACGAGUUGAGGAGGAACUGAGUCGGCGGCGCAGCGAGUCGUGACUCGGAAGUUGUCUAGUAGACUUGGAGGAAGCUGGAUGGUUGAAUUUGAAGUGGCUGUGGCUGUGGCUGUGGCUGCACCUGCACCGGCACGUGGACGUGAUGGUGGUGGUGGUGGUGGUGUGUGGGGUUUUGGGGAGGAUAGGUAACCCAGGGCGUAGGAUAGCAGGAGGAGGAUAAUAUACGCCGUUGGGUUAUUGAAGAGUUUCUUGGUUAUGUACAUGUUUACUUUGUGGUGGAAGCGGUGGUGGUCUUCUUUUGCUCACAUGUUUUGUCGUUUAUUUGGUGAAUUCUU